GCCAUUAUAGCUCAUAGUGUUAGAGAGCACUGGUUCUGUAAAGUCCAGGGUCGUGAGUUCGAUCCUCAAUACCUGGUG
Non-coding RNA from Trichonephila inaurata madagascariensis, 78 nucleotides. NCBI's taxonomy places the organism in Eukaryota, Metazoa, Arthropoda, Arachnida, Araneae, Nephilidae. The record is from the annotation of a GenBank genome assembly.